Molecule: ribosomal RNA, 468 nt
Filed under: uncultured bacterium
Lineage: Bacteria
Description: partial 16S ribosomal RNA
Rfam family: Bacterial small subunit ribosomal RNA
Source: RNAcentral
GACGAACGCUGGCGGCGUGCUUAACACAUGCAAGUCGAACGGAAAGGCCCUGCUUUUGUGGGGUGCUCGAGUGGCGAACGGGUGAGUAACACGUGAGUAACCUGCCCUUGACUUUGGGAUAUCUUCAGGAAACUGGGGCUAAUACCGGAUAGGAGCUCCUGCUGCAUGGUGGGGGUUGGAAAGUUUCGGCGGUUGGGGAUGGACUCGCGGCUUAUCAGCUUGUUGGUGGGGUAGUGGCUUACCAAGGCUUUGACGGGUAGCCGGCCGGAGAGGGUGACCGGCCACAUUGGUACUAAGAUACGGCCCAGACUACUACGGGAGGCAGCAGUGGGGAAUAUUGCACAAUAGGCGGAAGCCUGAUGCAGCAACGCCGCGUGCGGGAUGAAGGCCGUCGGGUUGUAAACCGCUUUCGCCUGUGACGAAGCGUGAGUGACGGUAAUGGGUAAAGAAGCACCGGCUAACUACGUG